UGAAUGGGCAAGUCCUCAGUGGUCCCC
RNAcentral lists this non-coding RNA (27 nucleotides) under Homo sapiens (human). The record is from RNAcentral. Lineage: Eukaryota; Metazoa; Chordata; Mammalia; Primates; Hominidae.